GGCCCGUUGGCCCAACUGAAACAUUAGUCCGCCUUCUCCCCCGAGACCCCCGAGAGUCCCCUCGCUGCCGACGCCACACAAACGCCUCCACCCUCAUGUUCACCGGCGCUGCGGGCGGCAUUGGCAACCUGCCACGGCCGCGCAGGCCGCGGCUCGGCGGAAUAGGACACGGGGGCGUCAUGGUGUCUCCACAGGGACAGGUGGCUCUGGGGGCACAUCCGCACCUAGCCGCCCCGCCGUGCACCGACUACGACGUGGCCUACUUCAAGGCCUACUCACACAUCGGCGUCCACGAGGAGAUGCUCAAGGAUCAUGUGAGAACUAGUACUUACAGAAAUGCCAUAAUGCAUCACAAAGAUCUUAUUUCAGGCAAGGUAGUUUUGGAUGUGGGUUGCGGCACUGGUGUUCUUUCGAUAUUCUGUGCUUUUGCUGGUGCCACUCGUGUUUAUGCAGUUGAUGCAAGUGAUAUUGCAUUUCAGGCUAUGGAGAUUGUAAGAGAGAAUGAGCUGUCUGACAAAGUUGUGGUUUUGCAUGGCCGAAUUGAGGAUGUCGAUAUUGAAGAAAAAGUUGAUGUCAUCAUAUCUGAAUGGAUGGGCUACAUGCUUUUGUAUGAGAGUAUGCUGGGAAGUGUAAUUUUUGCUAGGGACAAAUGGCUUAAGCCAGGAGGUCUUAUUCUUCCAUCGCAUGCAUCGCUUUACAUGGCACCUGUUACGAAUUCUCAAAGAUACCAUGAUAGUAUUUACUUCUGGCGAGAUGUAUAUGGCAUAAAAAUGUCCUCUAUGAUGCCUCUUGCGAAACUAUGUGCGUUUAUGGAGCCAUCAGUUGAGACAAUUAGUGGAGAGAAUGUCUUGACAUGGCCAGCAGUGGUUGCACAGGUGGAUUGUUAUACCAUACAAGCUCAGAAGCUCGAAACCAUCACUGCUGCAUUUAAAUUUACGUCAAUGUUACAAGGGCAGACCUGGUGCAGUAGUGAGAGCUGUUUCACCAAGUCACCAAGUCAUGGGUUCGAAGUAACCUCUCCACAUUUUCGUGGGAAAAGCUUGCCUUGGUUUAUCCCUUUCCGAGACCCCACUCAUGUGGGAGCCUCCGACAUUGUGUCUACCCUUUUUAUAAGCCUACACUCGUUUCAAAGCAUGCAUAUACUGCUUUCUUCCUGUUUUGCACUCGGUUGUUAGCUGUAAUUGGGAUUAGACAUGCACUGUGAUGAGAGACUUUUUUCAGUGCUUUCAGUUAAAGGGAUGAGCCUUAGUUGUAAGUUGUAUUUCCCAACGCUGAGAAUGAGGAUGGCAUGCUACUUUUUCCAUGUAUAUCAAUCCAGGAUGUUUCUAAUUUCUUGUAACUACUACAAAUUUCCUAAAACAUUAUAUAAGGAUACAAUGUUCUAAUGCUUUGGGAAGUUAGGAUAUGAUGUUCUAAUGCUUGAGCUGGAAUGCAAUCAACAAGAGCAUUUGAGAGAAUCUUUCAUACAUGUGACUUAUUUUGAGGUGGUGCUAAUAAAUCCACCUCUUCUGUGUAGCUAAUUAUGGAGAUAUAUUAAUCUGGCUUAUCUUAUAAUUUUGUGACUGCUUGCCCAGUUACAGGCCUGAUCAGAGUUUAGUUUUUACCCAUGAUUGGUGGAAUAUAAUGUGCUACAUGUGGUGUUUGAUCUGAUACAGCUCCAUUGCAUGGUUUUGCAUUUUGGUUCGAUGUUGAGUUCAAUGGACCAGUACGCCAGAAAUCGAAGAAGCAACCUAGUCAAUCAUUGGAUGAGAACACCCAAAAUGCCAGCCCAAGCAAUAGGAAGAGAAAACCAGAUGUCUCUAUUGUUCUUUCAACUGCACCAGAGGAUGCCCCUACUCACUGGCAGCAGACCCUUUUGUACUUGUUUGAACCUAUAGAACUAAACAAAGAUCAGAUCAUAGAAGGCUCUGUUACUAUCUCCCAGAGCCAGCAACAUGCUCGCUUCCUUAACAUCUGCCUGAAAUACUUUACUGGCGACCAAUGGUAUGUCAAAGAAUCUGUGAUGCGAUAAUCUGGGGGAAACUGAAACAUAGUAACCUUCUUUCUGAAUAGGCUCAAAUCUGUUUUGUAUGAAGGACAACCUUGCUGCUGGUCAUUGCGGUUUAGGAGCAUUCUGACUGUACUGGGUUGUCGUGGUAGCAAAUUGAUAAAAAAUGGAGUGCCAUUUCGAGUGCAGCUUGAUCAAAAUGGUAGUGGGCCUCGACAAGUAAUAUGUGAAUCUUUGGCUCCAAACUCAAAUUGACGAACAAAACAUAGAACAUGUUGACAAGAGUAGUACCGUUUUCUUUUUUUUUUUGUUCUUUUGAAUAGGUACAAGCUGCUGGUACUUUAUUCCCCAUAAUAGACUGCUCAUUCAUUGUAACGCUUCUGCAGCGUGUAGUGCAGCAUAGACGGUAUGAUUUUACAAAUGGUAGCAUUGAAUUUUUACGAGUGGAGUUUUUGAAGAGUAAAAUGCAUGAAUAAAAUGUGCAUGGUGUCUGGACAAGUAGAAUGCAUGGUGAAUGUCAGUUUGUUUCAA
This is an RNA transcript of Zea mays, 2518 nucleotides long. It is a transcript of the gene named putative protein arginine N-methyltransferase 6, with no coding region annotated. The transcript has 14 exons. NCBI's taxonomy places the organism in Eukaryota, Viridiplantae, Streptophyta, Magnoliopsida, Poales, Poaceae. The record is from RefSeq and is marked provisional.